RNAcentral lists this unclassified non-coding RNA (352 nucleotides) under soil metagenome. Its description in RNAcentral is "partial contains 5.8S ribosomal RNA, internal transcribed spacer 2, and large subunit ribosomal RNA". The stretch from base 1 to 120 matches the Rfam family "5.8S ribosomal RNA", at positions 35 to 154 of the family's 154-position model. The record is from RNAcentral.
GAUGAAGAACGCAGCGAAAUGCGAUAAGUAAUGUGAAUUGCAGAAUUCAGUGAAUCAUCGAAUCUUUGAACGCACAUUGCGCCCGCCAGUAUUCUGGCGGGCAUGCCUGUUCGAGCGUCAUUACAACCCUCAGGCCCCCGGGCCUGGCGUUGGGGAUCGGCGGAGCCCCCCGUGGGCACACGCCGUCCCCCAAAUGCAGUGGCGGUCCCGCCGCAGCUUCCAUCGCGUAGUAGCUAACACCUCGCGACUGGAGAGCGGCGCGGCCACGCCGUAAAACACCCAACUCUUCUGAAGUUGACCUCGAAUCAGGUAGGAAUACCCGCUAAACUUAAGCAUAUCAAUAAGCGGAGGA